Molecule: transfer RNA, 72 nt
Filed under: Candidatus Korarchaeota archaeon NZ13-K
Lineage: Archaea; Thermoproteati; Thermoproteota
Description: tRNA-Cys
Rfam family: tRNA
About the family: Transfer RNA (tRNA) molecules are approximately 80 nucleotides in length. Their secondary structure includes four short double-helical elements and three loops (D, anti-codon, and T loops).
Source: RNAcentral
GCCGGGUUGGCCGAGCGGCGCAGGCAGCGGGCUGCAGACCCGUGGACGGGGGUUCGAAUCCCCCACCCGGCU